CAAAGAGCAAGCACCACUCGCUAGUAGGAGAUCUCUAGUCAACAAAUACCUUCUUUCAAUUCGAGAGCCUAUCGGAAAGGUUUUUCGAUCUGAACGACUUGUUGUUGAUCCAGAGGAUGACAUCUACUACAUAUGGAUGGGUGUAAUUGCAGCUACGGUCAUCUACAACUUUUGUACCGUCAUUCUUAGAAUCGCUUUCACAGAAUCAUCGGAAGAGUCUCUCUCUAGACUCCUUUUCUGGUGGGGAGAUGUUUUUGCAGAUGGAUUGUAUGCCUGUGACGUGUGCGUGCAACUAAGAACUGCUUAUCGAGAUGAUCAGGGAAUUAUGGUUAAGGAUCCUGUACAAUUAUCAGAGACGUAUACAAAGAAGAGACGAUUUAAAGUUGAUAUUAUCUGCCUUCUACCCCUGGAAACAGUUUCCCGUGUGAUAUUUUUUCCCUGUCAUUUUUCGCUGUUCCGAUUACCCAGACUUCUCAAAUGGCAUUCAGUAGAAACAUUUUUCCUUAUGAGUGACUACCGAACCAGUAAACCAAACCGCCUGCGGGCUUCCAAACUGAUUCUGUACUUGAGUGUGGCCAUGCAUUGGGUUGCUUGCUUAUACUACGCCAUCUCUGAGUAUGAAGGACUGGGGACUAAUGACUGGGUGUACACAGAAACCGUGAAAAGCGGUGAUCCACUCUCCAGGAAGUACGUGAAAUCCUUUUAUUGGUCUGUCCUUACUUUGAUGACAAUUGGAGAAACGCCAAGUCCCCAGACAAAUCUUGAAUAUAUUUUCACUGGCUGUAUGUUUCUCCUGGGAAUCUUUGUGUUUGCCACAGUUGUGGGCAACGUUGGUGACGUCAUUAGCAACAUGAAUGCGGCGAGAACUAAUUUUCAAGCGAGGAUGGAUGCAAUCAAGCAGUACAUGGAGCAUCACAAUGUACCUCACAUGCUACAAACUCGGGUCAAAAGAUGGGCUCAUUACGCAUGGAGCAGGACACAAGCCCUAGACGAAGGGGCGUCUUUGGAAAUGCUCCCUGAGAGAUUAAGAACUGAGAUAGCCAUUCAUGUGCACCUAGACACGUUGCGAAAGGUGAAGAUCUUCAAGGACUGCGAACAAGGCCUGCUAUGUGAAUUGGUACUAAAACUUCGACCGCAAAUUUUUUCCCCUGGAGACUAUAUCUGUCGUUGUGGUGAAAUAGGACGGGAAAUGUAUAUUAUCAACAACGGAAAAGUUGAGGUAGUAAUACCAGACUCAAACACUGGCGAGGAGGUUGUGGUAGCUUCCCUCACAGAGGGUAACUAUUUCGGGGAGAUAAGCCUGUUAAGACUCGACGCCGGUAAAAACAGACGCUCUGCCGAUGUGCGCUCAGUGGGUUACUCGGAAUUGUUGUGUCUCUCUCAAAAGGACCUAAUGGAGGCCUUAGAGGAGUAUCCUGAAGCUAAAAAAGUACUAGAAAGUCAAGGGCGAGACAGAUUACAGAGGGCAAGGUCGAGUAACAAUCUCUCAAUACCCCAUCCUGAUUCAGAGAGAGAACAAUUUCGUAAUCUAGAAUUCAACUUCGCGAGGGAAAUCAGCAUCGUCAAAGAACUCUGGGAGGAAAUUAAAGAAAGCAAAAAGGAGUUCUAUAAAUGCGAGCCAGUAAGGAGUCUCAGAGAAGAGGUACCAUCUCAGCAUUUCGUCAGAUUUCCUUGGCAGUUUGCCUGUACCCAUUUAUAAUCCUGGGUGGAGAAAUGCAAUGUGAUAAGAAGUGGCUGGGGAUCUAACUUUGUCCCAGACCUUUCGAUUAAAAGGCCACCGCGCCUCCUACAGAUUGCAUGAUGAGUGCCUAAACUUGAGGGUUCAAAUAGAGACGCAAAUGGAGGAAAUAGAAGAAAUUAAACAACAGCUCGCACUGCGAAGUAGAUCACCAAAUGACGAAAAGAGCCGAAGAAGGUCAAGUGCAG
Molecule: unclassified non-coding RNA, 1926 nt
Filed under: Pocillopora damicornis (cauliflower coral)
Lineage: Eukaryota; Metazoa; Cnidaria; Anthozoa; Scleractinia; Pocilloporidae
Description: cyclic nucleotide-gated cation channel alpha-3-like, transcript variant X1
Source: RNAcentral